AUACUUAGGGUGCGAGCGUUAAUCGGAAUUACUGGGCGUAAAGCGAGUGUAGGCGGCUGUAUAAGUCGGAUGUGAAAGCCCCGGGCUCAACCUGGGAAUUGCAUUCGAAACUGUACAGCUAGAGUUUGGUAGAGGUAAGUGGAAUUCAAGGUGUAGCGGUGAAAUGCGUAGAUAUCUUGAGGAACAUCAGUGGCGAAGGCGGCUUACUGGACCAAAACUGACGCUGAGGCUCGAAAGCGUGGGGAGCAAACAGGAUUAGAAACCCCAGUAGUCC
RNAcentral lists this ribosomal RNA (274 nucleotides) under uncultured bacterium. Its description in RNAcentral is "partial 16S ribosomal RNA". It matches the Rfam family "Bacterial small subunit ribosomal RNA", at positions 523 to 796 of the family's 1533-position model. The record is from RNAcentral.